CUUUUAUUCCGGUAUUGUUAGAGUGGGUAUAAGCUUAUACCCACUCUAGGUAUUGUACGAGUAUUGUACAAGCAUUGCUUACAACCCUUGUGCGAGAGUUGUACAAUGCUUGUAAGUGGUAACUUUCAAUAAGUCUUGUGUGAGUCUUGUACAAGUAUUGUAUACAUGGCUUGUACAUUUCUCGUACAACACAAGCAGAAUACACGGGAGCGAUAAACGAAAUCAAAAACCAUCGUUGUACAUACAUUGUACAAGCCUUGUAACCACGCUCGUACAAGACUUGAACGAGUAUCGUAAUCGAUCUCAGCGAUUCAGUCCGUAAACACAGCCUUGUACAAGACUUGUUCCAACCUUGUAUACAAGUAUCGUUCAAACCACGUCUACAAGGCUUGUAGCGUUCCGUUAGGGUAAACUGGUUCAUAAACCCCCAUGGCACUACCACCACUCAGAGUCAAUUUGUCAAUUCAUUUGUUAUUGUUGGUUAUGAUUGUGGGGAGGUUUUUUUUUUCAAUAUCAACUCGAGAUUAUCAAGGAUAAUAAUAGCACAAUUAACGGUCAAACGUACAAAAUUGUCUAAUUAAAACUCAUCAUUAAAUUAAUAUAUUUAUUUGAAAAAAAAAUACUUCACCAAGUCAACGAUAUUGUGUAUUGAAAAAGAAAAAAAAUUACUGCAUUAAUAACUAAAUUAAUCACAAACAAAUCAAAAGUUUACAAUCAAGUUAGAGUUUACAUAAAAUGAGUGUAAAAAAAAUAUGUGUUGAGGAAGACCAACAAAUCUCUGAUGAUGGUGACAAGAAUCAAGAAAAAGUUGUCAUCAAUUCACUGGAUUACGACUCAUUAGCACAAAUCAUCAUGUUGUUGCCAAUACCAGAGAGGAUAGAUAUCCCGGGAAAAACAGUUUGUAUACAACCAUAUACAAUCAUAUACGACCAUAUAUGAUUGUAUACAAACUCAUACAGUUGUAUAUCGCCAUUUUCUGUAUACAAAUUUAUAAAGUUGUAUAUAUCUGUCUAGUGGCUACUUUGGUGACGAUUUUGGGAGUCAAGUGGCUACUUUGGUGACUCUUGGCUAGAUUGGUGACCGUCACCAAUCUAACAUCGUACGAUUUGUCUACUUUGGUGACUGUCACGAAAAGAGCCACUUUAUCAAAAAUAGUGAGAAACUUUAAUAAUAGUGUAGUUAAUGAACUACAAACAUUCAAGAUGACUUUUAUAGUUUAUUUAACCGAUAACGAUUAUAAUUAAAGAAGUUAGAAAUAUUAAAAAUGAAUAUAAAGACAAAAUAAUGGUAAAAAAGCUAAAAGAUUCAGUAAUUUGAAUUAAAAGAUUUUAAAUCACAUCGGAACAAUAUAACGUCAUUGAAAUCGAUCAAAAACAUUAUCAAGAAGUAUUGUAUAUCGGAAGAUACUAUGUAGGCAUCAUAUCUAUGAAUUAUUUGCUGUUAACAAGGUAAGUCACGAAACUGUACACUUCGUGACCAAUUGUACUGUUUGGUGACAGUUACGAAACUAGCCAGUAUAUACCGUCCGGCUAGUUUGGUAACAUUUAAUUACUGAUGUGUGUAUUAAAUGGUAACAAUGAUUUUCGUGAUGAGAGAAACAUUAUGACAGUCCCGGUAAUGACCAAAAAAACGAAGAAUAGACGACAUUUGUUGCCUGGUACUCAAGAUUUUCUGUCAAAUUUAACCAGCUUUAUCGGAAUACAACUUUUCUAGAAGCUUUCUGUUUUUUGAUUAUUAUCGGUGAGUUUUUUUUUUCAAAUUGUCUAACCGAAAUUCGAAAAUCCCAUGAGUUGUAUAGAUUGGUGACAGUAAAAAAACAGAAAUCACGUGAAUCGGCUUUGAAACUGCGAAGAUUUGUUCUUGGACACUGGUUUUAAGAUUUUUUGACACUAACCCGAGCAAUAAUUGAAAAAAAAGUCAAAAACUAUGAAAAACUGAAGUUUCGGAUAUUCGUACGUUACUAUGAAAAACUUACAACAAAAACUGAGAAUGAACGACGUUCGUUGACUAGAACGAGAUGUUUUCUUUCAUAUAUCAUACGACAGAUCCGAAUAUAAUUUGCCUGGAAGCAUUAAGUUUCUUAGACCGUUAGUUAUUAGGGAGUUUCUGUUUCACAGUUUGACUAGACGAAACUUAAAAAUCCUGUCAAGUGGCUAGAUUGGUGACAGUGAAAAAAUAAGAAUCACGUCAAUCAGCUUGAAAACUGCUUAGAUUUUUUCUAAGUCACAGGUCUCAACAUUUCUUGACCCUGACCUGCGCAAUAAUUGAGAAAAAGAAUCAGAAACUAUGGAAAAAUAACGUUUCAGAAAUUCGUACGUUACUAUGGAAAACAUACGACGAAAACAAAGAAUACAAGACGAUCAUUGACGAGAAUUAGAUAUUUUAUGUCAUUUUCCAUACGGCUGAUCCGAAUAUAACUUGUCUAGAAGCUUUACGUUUCUUGGACAGUUAGUAAUCAGGUGGUUUCUGUUUCACAGUUUGACUGGACGAAACUUAAAAAUCCAGUCAAGUGGCUGGAUUGAUGACAGUGAAAAAACAGGAAUCGCGUCAAUCAGCUGAAAAACUGCUGAGAUUCUUUCCAAGUCACUGGUCUUAACAUUUCUUGACCCCGACCUGAGCAAUAAUUGAGAAAAAAUUCAAAAACUAUGGAAAAUUAACGUUUCGGAAAUUCGUACGUUACUAUGGACAACAUACGACAAUAACAAAGAAUAAGCGACGUUCAUUGACUAGAACUAGACAUUUCCUGUCAUAUUCCAUACGCCUAAUCCAUAUACAACUUGUCUAGAAGCUUUACGUUUCUUGGACAGUUAGUUAUUAGGGAGUUUCUGUUUCACAGUUUGACUGGACGAAACUUAAAAAUCCAGUCAAGUGGCUGGAUUGGUGACAGUGAAAAAACAAGAAUCGCGUCAAUCAGCUGAAAAACUGCUGAGAUUCUUUCCAAGUCACUGGUCUUAACAUUUCUUGACCCCGACCUGAGCAAUAAUUGAGAAAAAAAACCAGAAACUAUGGAAAAUUAACGUUUCGGAAAUUCGUACGUUACUAUGGAAAACAUACGACGAAAACAAAGAAUACAAGACGUUCAUUGACUAGAAUUAGAUAUUUUAUGUCUGAUUCCAUACGCCUGUUCCGAAUACAACUUGUCUGGAAGCUUUACGUUACGUGGACAGUUAGUAAUCAGGUGGUUUCUGUUUUUUAGUUCGACUGGACGAAACUUAAAAAUCCUGUCAAGUGGCUGGAUUGGUGACAGUGAAAAAAUAGGAAUCGCGUCAAUCAGCUUAAAAACUGCUGAGAUUCUUCCUAAGUCACUGGUCUCAACAUUUCUUGACCCUGACCUGACCAAUAAUUGAGAAAAAAAUUCAGAAACUAUGGAAAAUUGACGUUUCGGAAAUUCGUACGUUACUAUGGACAACAUACGACAAUAACAAAGAAUAAGCGACGUUCAUUGACUGGAACUAGACAUUAUCUGUCAUAUUCCAUACCCCGAUCCUAAUAUAACUUUUCUGGGAGCUUUAAUUUUCUUAUAGACAGUUAGUUAUUAGGGAGUUUCUGUUUCACAGUUUGACUGGACGAAACUUAAAAAUCAUGUCAAGUGGCUAGAUUGGUGACAGUGGAAGAACAAGAAUCACGUCAAUCAGCUUAAAAACUGCUUAGAUUCUUUCUAAGUCACAGGUCUCAACAUUUCUUGACCCUGACCUGCGCAAUAAUUGUGAAAAAAAAUCAGAAACUAUGGAAAAAUAACGUUUCGGAAAUUCGGACGUUACUAUGGAAAACAUACGACGAAAACAAAAAUUACACGACGUUCGUUGACUAGAACUAGAUGUUUUCUAUCAUAUUUCAUACGACAGAUCCGUAUAUAACUUACUUGGAAGCAUUAAGUUUUUGAGACCGUUAGUUAUUAGGAAGCUUCUGUUUUACAGAUUGACUUGACGAAACUUAAAAAUCCUGUCAAGUGGCUAGAUUGGUGACAGUGAAAAAACAGGAACCACGUCAAUCAGCUUAAAAGCUGCUUAGAUUCUUUCUAAGUCACUGGUCUUAACAUUUCUUGACCGUGACUCGCGCAAUAAUUGAGAAAAAAAAUCAGAAACUAUGGAAAAAUAACGUUUCAGAAUUUCGUACGUUACUAUAAAAAACUUACGACAAAAACGAAGACUACACCACAGUUAUUGACUUGAAUUAGAUAUUCUCUGUCAUAUUCCAUACGCUCGAUUCGAAUGUAACCUGUCUGGAAUCUUCAAGUCUCUCGGACAGUUAGUUAUGAGAAAGUUUCUAUUUUUCAGUUUGACGAGACGAAACUAAAAAUUCCUGUUAAGUGGAUAGAUUGGUGACAGUAGAAAAACUGAAAUCACAUGAAUAAGCUUCAAAACUGCUUAGAUUUGUUCCGAGACACUGGUUUUAACAUUAUCUGACUCUGACCCAAGCAAUAAUUGAGAAAAAAAGUAAAAAACCAUAGAAAAUAGAUGUUCGGAAACUCGUACGUUACUACGGAAAACAUACGACAAAUACAAGACAAAAUUUGAAGAUAAUACAUAUUUUUCGUCAAACACUAGUUUUAACGUUUUUCAAAUCAAUACUAGUAAAAUUCAUUCACCUAAACUUUAAUUAUAUAAAUCUGAACAUAAUUUCGUGGACUUUGAUGUUUUGUAUAAAAAAAGUCACGAAUCUAGACAAUUAAUAUAUUUAUUCGUAUAAACUCAUUAUUAUAUAACAUGUGGCUUCUUUCGUGACAUCAGUAUGUAUAUGUAAUAGGAGAAUUGGCUUAAUUGG
This is an RNA transcript of Aphidius gifuensis, 4764 nucleotides long. RefSeq lists it as uncharacterized. The record is from RefSeq and is a predicted model, not a curated record. The transcript has 3 exons. Lineage: Eukaryota; Metazoa; Arthropoda; Insecta; Hymenoptera; Braconidae.